AUUGAACGCUGGCGGCAUGCCUUACACAUGCAAGUCGAACGGUAACAGGUUAAGCUGACGAGUGGCGAACGGGUGAGUAAUAUAUCGGAACGUGCCCAGUCGUGGGGGAUAACGUAGCGAAAGCUACGCUAAUACCGCAUACGAUCUACGGAUGAAAGCGGGGGAUCGCAAGACCUCGCGCGAUUGGAGCGGCCGAUAUCAGAUUAGGUUGUUGGUGAGGUAAAAGCUCACCAAGCCUGCGAUCUGUAGCUGGUCUGAGAGGACGACCAGCCACACUGGAACUGAGACACAGUCCAGACUCCUACGGGAGGCAGCAGUGGGGAAUUUUGGACAAUGGACGCAAGUCUGAUCCAGCAACGCCGCGUGCAGGACGAAGGCCUUCGGGUUGUAAACUGCUUUUGUACGGAACGAAACGGUGAGCUCUAAUACAGUUUGCUAAUGACGGUACCGUAAGAAUAAGCACCGGCUAACUACGUGCCAGCCGCCGCGGUAA
Molecule: ribosomal RNA, 493 nt
Filed under: uncultured bacterium
Lineage: Bacteria
Description: partial 16S ribosomal RNA
Rfam family: Bacterial small subunit ribosomal RNA
Source: RNAcentral